CGGGGUGUAGCGCAGUCCGGUUAGCGCAUCUGGUUUGGGACCAGAGGGUCACAGGUUCGAAUCCUGUUACCCCGA
RNAcentral lists this transfer RNA (75 nucleotides) under Alistipes sp. RNAcentral's name for it is "tRNA-Pro". It matches the Rfam family "tRNA". From Rfam's summary of the family: Transfer RNA (tRNA) molecules are approximately 80 nucleotides in length. Their secondary structure includes four short double-helical elements and three loops (D, anti-codon, and T loops). Further hydrogen bonds mediate the characteristic L-shaped molecular structure. tRNAs have two regions of fundamental functional importance: the anti-codon, which is responsible for specific mRNA codon recognition, and the 3' end, to which the tRNAs corresponding amino acid is attached (by aminoacyl-tRNA synthetases). tRNAs cope with the degeneracy of the genetic code in two manners: having more than one tRNA (with a specific anti-codon) for a particular amino acid; and 'wobble' base-pairing, i.e. permitting non-standard base-pairing at the 3rd anti-codon position. RNAcentral also lists the same sequence under 1 other name. Lineage: Bacteria; Pseudomonadati; Bacteroidota; Bacteroidia; Bacteroidales; Rikenellaceae. The record is from RNAcentral.